GAUGAAGAACGUAGUGAAAUGCGAUAAGUAAUGUGAAUUGCAGAAUUCAGUGAAUCAUCGAAUCUUUGAACGCACAUUGCGCCCAUUAGUAUUCUAGUGGGCAUGCCUGUUCGAGCGUCAUUAAGUCCACUUAAGCCCUGCUUAGUGUUGGGAGACUGUUCCAGCGGUGCUACCCUGUAGCUACCCUGCAGCUCCUCAAAGACAGCGGCGGAGUUGUGGUAUCCUCUGAGCUUAGUAACUUGUUCUAGCUUUCGAGUACACCACUUCCCCUGCCGUAAAACCCUUAAUUUUUAAUGGUUGACCUCGGAUCAGGUAGGAAUACCCGCUGAACUUAAGCAUAUCAAUAAGCGGAGGA
This 355-nucleotide unclassified non-coding RNA is filed under the name soil metagenome. RNAcentral's name for it is "partial contains 5.8S ribosomal RNA, internal transcribed spacer 2, and large subunit ribosomal RNA". The stretch from base 1 to 120 matches the Rfam family "5.8S ribosomal RNA", at positions 35 to 154 of the family's 154-position model. The record is from RNAcentral.